Molecule: transfer RNA, 97 nt
Filed under: Aspergillus candidus
Lineage: Eukaryota; Fungi; Ascomycota; Eurotiomycetes; Eurotiales; Aspergillaceae
Rfam family: tRNA
About the family: Transfer RNA (tRNA) molecules are approximately 80 nucleotides in length. Their secondary structure includes four short double-helical elements and three loops (D, anti-codon, and T loops). Further hydrogen bonds mediate the characteristic L-shaped molecular structure. tRNAs have two regions of fundamental functional importance: the anti-codon, which is responsible for specific mRNA codon recognition, and the 3' end, to which the tRNAs corresponding amino acid is attached (by aminoacyl-tRNA synthetases). tRNAs cope with the degeneracy of the genetic code in two manners: having more than one tRNA (with a specific anti-codon) for a particular amino acid; and 'wobble' base-pairing, i.e. permitting non-standard base-pairing at the 3rd anti-codon position.
Source: Rfam by way of RNAcentral
GCCCGGGUAGCUCAAUUGGUCAGAGCGUGCGGCUUUUACGGUGCAGCAGCAUCUCAAGUAAACCGCAAGGCUGGGGGUUCGAGACCCCCUUCGGGCG